GCCCCUAUGGCCAAGUGGUAAGGCGUCGCACUUGUAAUGCGAAGAUCGGUCGUUCGAAUCGGCCUGUAAGUU
Molecule: non-coding RNA, 72 nt
Organism: Diaporthe helianthi
Lineage: Eukaryota; Fungi; Ascomycota; Sordariomycetes; Diaporthales; Diaporthaceae
Source: Rfam